UACGUAGGGGGCGAGCGUUGUCCGGAUUUAUUGGGCGUAAAGAGCGUGUAGGCGGCCAGGUAGGUCUGCUGUGAAAACUCGAGGCUCAACCUCGAGACGUCGGCGGAAACCAUCUGGCUAGAGUCCGGAAGAGGAGAGUGGAAUUCCGUGGUGUAGCGGUGAAAUGCGCAGAUAUCAGGAAGAACACCCGUGGCGAAGGCGGCUCUCUGGGACGGUACUGACGCUGAGACGCGAAAGCGUGGGGAGCGAACAGG
Molecule: ribosomal RNA, 254 nt
Filed under: uncultured bacterium
Lineage: Bacteria
Description: partial 16S ribosomal RNA
Rfam family: Bacterial small subunit ribosomal RNA
Source: RNAcentral